This 378-nucleotide unclassified non-coding RNA is filed under the name plant metagenome. Its description in RNAcentral is "partial contains 5.8S ribosomal RNA, internal transcribed spacer 2, and large subunit ribosomal RNA". The stretch from base 1 to 105 matches the Rfam family "5.8S ribosomal RNA", at positions 50 to 154 of the family's 154-position model. The record is from RNAcentral.
GAAAUGCGAUAAGUAAUGUGAAUUGCAGAAUUCAGUGAAUCAUCGAAUCUUUGAACGCACCUUGCGCUCCUUGGUAUUCCUUGGAGCAUGCCUGUUUGAGUAUCAUGAAAUCUUCAAAGUAAAUCUUUUGUUAACUCAAUUGGUUUCUACUUUGGUAUUGGAGGUCUUUGCAGCUUCACACCUGCUCCUCUUUGUUCAUUAGCUGGAUCUCAGUGUUAUGCUUGGUUCCACUCGGCGUGAUAAGUUAUCUAUCGCUGAGGACACUGUAAAAGGUGGCCAAGGUAAAUGCAGAUGAACCGCUUCUAAUAGUCCAUUGACUUGGACAAUACUUUUAUGAUCUGAUCUCAAAUUAGACAAGAUUACCCGCUGAACUUAAGC